Molecule: small nucleolar RNA, 134 nt
Organism: Suncus etruscus (white-toothed pygmy shrew)
Lineage: Eukaryota; Metazoa; Chordata; Mammalia; Eulipotyphla; Soricidae
Product: small nucleolar RNA SNORA1
Exons: 1
Source: RefSeq, a predicted model, not a curated record
GACCUCAUUCUUGGUGCCUGUGGGCCUGGCUGCUCCUGGGGCCCAGACAAGUGAAUGUGGACACAUUGACCCACAAGUCAUGAUUCCAUCACAGCAGGCACAUUGCCGUGGUGACAAUGGGACCUGUGGCUUGU